CCUACGGGAGGCAGCAGUGAGGAAUAUUGGUCAAUGGUCGGGAGACUGAACCAGCCAAGCCGCGUGAGGGAUGAAGGUACAGAGUAUCGUAAACCUCUUUUGUCAGGGAACAAAGGCGGGGACGUGUCCCCGGAUGAGUGUACCUGAAGAAAAAGCAUCGGCUAACUCCGUGCCAGCAGCCGCGGUAAUACGGAGGAUGCGAGCGUUAUCCGGAUUUAUGGGGUUUAAAGGGUGCGCAGGCGGACUGUUAAGUCAGCGGUCAAAGCCCGGGGCUCAACCACGGCCCGCCGUUGAAACUGGCAGUCUCGAGUUGGAGAGAAGUAUGCGGAAUGCGCGGUGUAGCGGUGAAAUGCAUAGAUAUCGCGCAGAACUCCGAUUGCGAAGGCAGCAUGCCGGCUCCACACUGACGCUGAGGCACGAAAGCGUGGGUAUCGAACAGGAUUAGAUACCCGGGUAGUC
RNAcentral lists this ribosomal RNA (459 nucleotides) under uncultured bacterium. RNAcentral's name for it is "partial 16S ribosomal RNA". It matches the Rfam family "Bacterial small subunit ribosomal RNA", at positions 338 to 795 of the family's 1533-position model. The record is from RNAcentral.